Molecule: non-coding RNA, 162 nt
Organism: Cladophialophora bantiana CBS 173.52
Lineage: Eukaryota; Fungi; Ascomycota; Eurotiomycetes; Chaetothyriales; Herpotrichiellaceae
Source: the annotation of a RefSeq genome assembly
UCCUCGAUGGUCUAGUGGUCAUGAGUAAGACCUCCCCCGUUCUCCUCCACCACCAUUGUUCACUACCGAUCUGUGUUCUAACACGUAAACAGUUUCCGCUUGUCAUCUCUUCAUUGGGGAAACAAGCCGCGGGAGACCAGGGUUCGAUUCCCUGUCGGGGAG